Long non-coding RNA from Salvia splendens (bonfire salvia), 566 nucleotides. RefSeq lists it as uncharacterized. NCBI's taxonomy places the organism in Eukaryota, Viridiplantae, Streptophyta, Magnoliopsida, Lamiales, Lamiaceae. The transcript is spliced from 2 exons. The record is from RefSeq and is a predicted model, not a curated record.
GCAUCGUCCCUACCGCAUUACCUUUCCUUUCCCUUGACUCAAUCUCUCUCUAUAUCAAAAUGCAAGGGGCACUCAUCGUAGAACUAUACUCACCGGCAACUAUUUACACAGUGAAGAGUUUCGAGAAUUCCACAUAGUGCGUGUUUUUUUACCGCGCAUAAUUGGACCGGAAAAUUCGUCACAAUGUAAGAUGGUUGUCAGAUCACCAGCGGAAUUACCCCAGGAAAAGAAGCAUGUGUUUGGGUAGUUGAUGCUUUAAGGAGUUGAAAGCGGGUUUCGAGGUGAGAUGGAAGAGAUUGAGAAGAAGCUGAUGGGUUGUUGAUGGCUGCGGCUUGUUCAAGAAUCACCAUAUCCAUUGCUUCGCGAAGAAGCUCCUCCACUGCCUUCUCAUCAUCUCUCUUGCUUCCCAUUUUCAUCACAUCCAACUUAAUUACGCGUGUGAGUGAGAAAAUCUAGAGUUGAUGUAAUUAUAAAUAGUGUUUGUGAUCCUAUUUUUUCAACCAGUUUUUCCAUGAGUUCUUGUUAGAAAUCCACUGAUCUUUGAUUGAGUUUGUGAAGUUCCAACA